RNAcentral lists this ribosomal RNA (429 nucleotides) under Bacteroidota bacterium. RNAcentral describes it as "Bacteroidetes bacterium partial 16S ribosomal RNA". It matches the Rfam family "Bacterial small subunit ribosomal RNA", at positions 355 to 776 of the family's 1533-position model. Lineage: Bacteria; Pseudomonadati; Bacteroidota. The record is from RNAcentral.
UAGGGAAUCUUCCGCAAUGGACGCAAGUCUGACGGAGCAACGCCGCGUGAGUGAAGAAGGAUUUCGGUUCGUAAAACUCUGUUGUUAGAGAAGAACAGCGCAUAGAGUAACUGUUAUGCGUGUGACGGUAUCUAACCAGAAAGCCACGGCUAACUACGUGCCAGCAGCCGCGGUAAUACGUAGGUGGCAAGCGUUGUCCGGAUUUAUUGGGCGUAAAGCGAGCGCAGGCGGUCAAUUAAGUCUGAUGUGAAAGCCCCCGGCUCAACCGGGGAGGGUCAUUGGAAACUGGUUGACUUGAGUGCAGAAGAGGAAAGUGGAAUUCCAUGUGUAGCGGUGAAAUGCGCAGAGAUAUGGAGGAACACCAGUGGCGAAGGCGACUUUCUGGUCUGUAACUGACGCUGGUGUGCGAAAGCGUGGGAAUCAAACAGG